UUUUAGCGUAACUUUUCUCACCUGAGGAUGCAUCUUACCCGCCCGCGUACCCAAGCCAGCUCCGAGCCCGCCGCCCGUCAAUCACACGGCUCAAUCACCAUCGCCUUCCUCCCCUCGACACCACUUGCCAAAUUGUCUCCACCCUCCCUACUCUCGUGUCAUCCCAAUCUCCUACUAUCUUCCGCGGCGGCGCCUCCCUCCUCCAUCUGCAUCGUCCCCUCCAUCUGCUUCGCGUUGGUGGCGGCGGCGGUCCUUGGAACCAGGAGGAGGAGGCUAUGCUGCGGGUGGGCGAUGAGGGACUGCAGCGACGAUGCGCCGCCAUUUCCAUCUGCCUCCAGCCUCGCCUCCCCAUCCACGUCGCCCUUUUCUCCUUCGCCCCAUGAGCGUGUAGUCAAGCCGCUCGACGUCUGCAACGCGGCUAGUGACAGCGUCGACCAGGUGCGCCGCUAGGAGCGCCUCGCCAACAUCGCGGCCUCCAUGCUGCAGGGGCCCACGGAGAUCCACGAGGGCCAGCUCCUCGCGUCAAUGACACCACGGCGACCGGCCAUCGCCUCCACGAGCGUGAGCACGAGCAUGCAGCCGAGGUCGACGAGCGGGGGCGUCCGCACGGCAUGGAUGAGUGGGCUAGCUUCUGUCCUCACCGGCAGGGCUCCUAAGAUGCUACAGCGCGUCGUCCUGUGCAAGACAAAUCACAACAAUGUUGAGCGCUGAGUAGUGACCGGCCAUGGCGGCAAGCACCAUCACGGCGAGGUAACCCCCUCUGCGUUGCUCCGGCAUCCUACCUACCAAGCUUACUCAUGGAUUCUUGUAUUCAUACAGUAACAACUUGCAUCCCGUUCAAAUUCAUUCCCUGCAUCUAAUCUGGAUUGCCCCUUUGUUCUCCAUUGUGUGAUUGGAUUUGUGGCAAGUGCACCAUGGUGUUUAUGGUUUGAUUAAAUUUGCUUCAAUUUAUUGCGCCUUGGCCGACCCGGAAGGUGUUUGUCAGAUUAUCUAUGUGAGGUUUUGCAGCUAUUCACUCAAUCUGAAUUCUAAUUGGCAAAAUUAAUUCCUCUAGAAUACUUUUCUUGCAAUUGUCUUCUAGGUUACCAGCAAUUUGGCGAUUUAGCGGUGAUGAUGAUGCGGUGCCGCCGCUGUCCUCGUCGUCACAUGCGCCGCAGAUCCAUGGCCAUCCUCAUGACAUCAUCCGCGCUUCAGCUGUGAGGAUGCUUAAUUUGGGGAAGACGCCACACGAUCUGUGGGCUCCGUGGCAGCGGGCGGUGGCAGGAUUCGAUGGAGCAGUGGCAGAGCAAGGACCUUCGUCAAGGAGGCGCAAGGUUUAAAUGAUAGGUGAUCAUGGCAGCACGAAGACGGGCCGCCCGUCGAUCCACUCCCCUUUCGUGUGUCAGGUGAUCCGCCUCAUGGCGCCUACUGGCCUUUUCGUCUCUGCGAUCUACUGUGCACUGAUGGAUCAUUCGUGUAUAU
This is a long non-coding RNA of Panicum virgatum (switchgrass), 1461 nucleotides long. RefSeq lists it as uncharacterized. The transcript has 2 exons. Lineage: Eukaryota; Viridiplantae; Streptophyta; Magnoliopsida; Poales; Poaceae. The record is from RefSeq and is a predicted model, not a curated record.